This 1129-nucleotide long non-coding RNA is filed under the name Macaca mulatta (Rhesus monkey). RNAcentral's name for it is "lncRNA (ENSMMUG00000057350.1)". Lineage: Eukaryota; Metazoa; Chordata; Mammalia; Primates; Cercopithecidae. The record is from RNAcentral.
UUUUUAUAAUUUCAAAAGGUUUUGCGCUUGUUAUUUUCUUUAGUGUAAAAAAGUAUAGUUUUCCAGAACAUUAAAAUUCCUAAACUUGUACUAAAAGCAAUAGGCUAACAAAAUUCUUACUGAAAUUUUCUUUAUUAAGAUUCUUCUUAAUUUUUACCUUUGUGAUAUUCUAAGUUUUCAUAUUCAUUACAUACUAAUAUUAACCUCAUAUUCCCAACCCCAAAUUAUGUCUUAAAAGCUUUUAAAUUCUUCAUUUUCUAAUUUUAGAUACAGGACCUUUCUGCAUAGAUUAUAGUUCUGAGGUACAAUACCACCACAUAUUUGGUUGACUUCUUUCUAUACAAACAAGUCACGAAUAAUAUAAAUGAGCUUAGAUUAGAUCAGAUGCGAUGAGGGUUGAAGAGUGAUGGUUGAUGCAAACAAGAGAGGUGAUGAGUAUUGUUCUUGCCGCAUGAUGAAUUACGCUAUAUCAUGCCUUAAAACAAUGGAUUGUUCUUCAGGAUCAAAGACUUUUUAGCAAACAGCACAAUGGGAAAGAUAUAGUCCUUUAUCAUUUAGCAAAAAGUGAAACUUGCAAUAAGAAUGUUGAGACUUCUUUUCAAGUCUCAAAGAAUACAAUGGUGUGAGUGCUGAUGAGAAUGUACACACCUUGUCCUUGGUAACAGGCGCAGUGUAUUUUGUUGUUCUUUUCCUCUGCAGGACUGUUCUGUGAUGAUGUGUAAGCUGUUUUGAUCUCUGAGUACUUAAAGUGGAGCGGGAACUCUUCUACCCUUGGAGGUGUUAGUAGGAUUCUAAUGAUUCUGUUUGAUCUACCAUGUUAAACACAAAUGAAAUAAAUCAAGAGAAAUACACAUACUUUCUUCCACCUGGUGAUUCAGGAACCCAAGAACCUUUACCUUGUGGCUACACCAUCCUUAGGGGCUUGAAGUCCUUAACAUUCAUCUGAAAAUGGAGAGACAGUACUAAAGAAGAAAUGCCUGACUUAAAAUCCCUGGCCUGGAAGAGACACCACUCUUGCUAUGUUAUUGGUGAGAACUAGUCAGCACAUUGGAAUGUAGGGGAAACUGAGUAGGUAGGCAGAAAUUGUUAAGGCCUUACAGCCCCAAAGUCUAGCCCACAGAUGACCGUC